GACGAACGCUGGCGGCGUGCUUAACACAUGCAAGUCGAACGGAAAGGCCCCUUUGGGGGUACUCGAGUGGCGAACGGGUGCGUAACACGUGAGUAACCUGCCCUUGACUUCGGGAUAACUUCAGGAAACUGGGGCUAAUACCGGAUAGGAAUCCUUGCUGCAUGGUGGGGGUUGGAAAGCUUCGGCGGUUUUGGAUGGACUCGCGGCUUAUCAGCUUGUUGGUGGGGUUGUGGCUUACCAAGGCUUGGACGGGUAGCCGGCCUGAGAGGGCGACCGGCCACAUUGGGACUGAGAUACGGCCCAGACUCCGACGCGAGGGAGCAGUGGGGAAUAUUGCACAAUGGGCGGCAGCCUGAUGAAGCAACGCCUCGUGCGGGAUGACGGUCUUCGGGUUGUAAACCGCUUUCAGCAGGGGCGAAGCUUGUGGUGACGGUACCUGCAGAAGAAGCACCGGCUAACUACGUG
RNAcentral lists this ribosomal RNA (465 nucleotides) under uncultured bacterium. RNAcentral describes it as "partial 16S ribosomal RNA". It matches the Rfam family "Bacterial small subunit ribosomal RNA", at positions 28 to 507 of the family's 1533-position model. The record is from RNAcentral.